Molecule: long non-coding RNA, 1566 nt
Organism: Pseudoliparis swirei
Lineage: Eukaryota; Metazoa; Chordata; Actinopteri; Perciformes; Liparidae
Exons: 2
Source: RefSeq, a predicted model, not a curated record
GGGAGACCGUCAGCCUGUCAACAACCACUUAAGUUAAUGUGAAAAAAUAUAAUAUAUCGCCAUUAUCACGGAGAGAAGCCCCUCCCCUUUUUGGAGGCGAUCUAACGUGUGUGUGCGGCAUCGAGAAAAUAUUUCAGUCGUUUCGGCAAGGACGGCUUCUCAUUGGAGGAUGAAACGUGAAUCUUGGGUCGCAAAAAUGUGCGCUCGUUGGCCAAUGACAUCGUUUUAUUAUGUCACGUGACUGGACUAUUCGGCAGAUCAGAGACGUAUCGUUCCCUCAGCCAGAGAGCUCCACGCAGCUACGGGAGCAGGUAGCUAACGGAGCUGUCAGCUGGAGGCUCAGUGAGUAAUGCUGUUUAGUUUCCCCUGUCUGUUGUUCCAAAGGGACUGAAACUCUCUGGACUACAACGGGGGGAGGGAUCUAAAGAGCUGCAGACAAGUGGAAAGCACGAAUCUUGCCGCAGUUAUCUAGCUAAGAGCAUGGAGCUAACUCGCUAACAGCCUGAAGCUAACCCUGUUUACAGUCAGCAGAAGGAGACCGAACUGGCAUCGAAACACAACGAAGAAGUUCUGAAAAACAGACACAUUCCCUCCAGAAUAAUGGAAACAGGCUGGUUACAGACAUGAUGGCUGUGUCUACUACCGCGCACUGGAGCACUUGAGCUGACUUUCAGUGUUCGAAGUGCGCCACUGAAAAAACCAGCAGAAUUCAGUGCACUGAAAGUACCCGGAUGGCGCUCUGCAAACGGGCAGAACAUGUAAACGAUGGACACUACUCGCACUAAGCGGCCGCCAUCUUGGUGACGUAGCGGAAGAGGAGGAGCCCUUUCGCCAGCUCUUCAUUUCAUUUCUAAAACAAUGGCGGACAGCACAAGCGGUAGACCACGAAGCUACAGACCGUAAAUAGACGUUUCCUGGAGGUGCUGGCUGGUCCUCUGCUGCCCUCCCGACAUCUGGCUCCAAUGACCUCUGGCACCUCACAUCCACCUCCAGGGCCUUGAAGAAGAUGGACCGCCAUCGCGUCUUCAGUAUCCCGAAGGACCUCUCCACAACACCCCUCGCCUUUGACAGGCAGCAGUUGUAGCUUGGAGGUGGACAGGCUGCCUGAAGGGGUCAUGAGGCAGAUGGGUUGGGACAGGCAGGGGAGCCACCAUCCCCAAGGAUACAGUAUCCUGGUGGAGGGGAUGACUGCUCAUAGAAGAUGGGGCUGUUAUUCAGGACCCUGGCAUCAUGCACUGAGCCCGGGCCUGUCGAGGCCCUGGCCACCACCCGAUAGGAGGUGGCGCUGGCAAGCCAACAAAUAAAAACUAGACAGGAGAUCUCGGGGCCCCAACCGUGGUCAGUCAGUGCCCAGCACAGCCAUGAGGGCGUUGAAUGACUCGGUGAGCCUGAAGUCCACCCUCAUGUCACUGUGGCCAUCACAACACAACGCCAGCAGUGGCAUUGCAGCAUUGAUACGGCAGCGCCGCCUGGGACUGGGUGGCUGCUGUAGAGUGUGGGGAGGGGAGGGGAAGGGAAGAUUAUAUUAAUAUGCAAGUCAUUUUAUCAAUAAAAUGUUGUCAUUGA